UCCUACGGGGGGCAGCAGUGAGGAAUAUUGGUCAAUGGGCGAGAGCCUGAGCCAGCCAAGUCGCGUGAGGGAAGACGGUCCUAUGGAUUGUAAACCUCUUUUGCCGGGGAGCAAAAAGCGGUACGUGUACCGCAUCGAGAGUACCCGGAGAAAAAGCAUCGGCUAACUCCGUGCCAGCAGCCGCGGUAAUACGGAGGAUGCGAGCGUUAUCCGGAUUUAUUGGGUUUAAAGGGUGCGUAGGCGGACUGUUAAGUCAGCGGUAAAAGCCCGGGGCUCAACCCCGGCGAGCCGUUGAAACUGGCUGU
Molecule: ribosomal RNA, 305 nt
Filed under: uncultured bacterium
Lineage: Bacteria
Description: bacterial SSU rRNA
Rfam family: Bacterial small subunit ribosomal RNA
Source: RNAcentral